UACGUAGGGUGCAAGCGUUGUCCGGAAUUAUUGGGCGUAAAGAGCUCGUAGGCGGUCUGUUGCGUCGGCUGUGAAAACCCGGGGCUCAACCCCGGGCCUGCAGCCGAUACGGGCAGACUAGAGUUCGGCAGGGGAGACUGGAAUUCCUGGUGUAGCGGUGAAAUGCGCAGAUAUCAGGAGGAACACCGGUGGCGAAGGCGGGUCUCUGGGCCGAUACUGACGCUGAGGAGCGAAAGCCAGGGGAGCAAACGGG
RNAcentral lists this ribosomal RNA (253 nucleotides) under uncultured bacterium. RNAcentral's name for it is "partial 16S ribosomal RNA". It matches the Rfam family "Bacterial small subunit ribosomal RNA", at positions 524 to 776 of the family's 1533-position model. The record is from RNAcentral.